GACAUUGAUAGUUGAUAACUACCAAAACCAAGGUCAGGACAUGGGGAAAUAUAUCAUUCUGUUUAUUUUGAUAUGUUCAAAAUUUUCCAUCAUAAAAACUAAGUAUUAUCAAAUUCUUAGUCAUGUGUUGUAUUAGGGUAAUUAAAAUACAAAUUAGUAGUGAGUUUGAGGCCAGAUUGCUCAUCAUCCUGGCCCAGUGCAAAAAGCAAAUCUGAUCAUGUUCCCUCCCUUCUUAACAAUGUUAACAAACUUUCCAUUCUUCACCCUGAAGAAUAGUGUGAAUUCCUCAGAGUGGCUUUGGUAUGAAGAAACUUCAUACCAUAGAUAUAUGUGCAAAGCAGUGUGCAGAAUUCUGUUAGUUAUAUUAUUUAUUUAGACUGAGACCAUCUCUAUGAAGGUUUUAUAGAUAAAAGUGUAUAUCAAUGAAGGGACUCAAAACUAGAUGGAUAGUGACAGGGCCUACAGAAAGUUCAAAUUUUGGAUUCCUUCAGCUUUUUCCUACUUCGAUUGUGAUAGAAAGAGCUCUAAGAUUCUGACUCCUGGAGUCCCCAACCUGUUAUAAUGUCCUCCCCUUGAAUGUGGGCAGAGUAAGUGAAUAUGGUGGGAUAUCACUGACUACUAAUCAUGUGACUUUGAGUUCAUCAAAAGGGGGGAUGAUCCUGGGUGGGCAUGACCUAAUCAGAUGAGUGCUUUAAGGGAAGCGGAAAUGGGAUAGGGAAGCUCUUCUGUUGGCCUCAGAAUGAAGCAAACUGGCAUGUUCUGACAGGGCCUAUGGAGGGGCUGUGUGGGUGACUUCUAGGACUUAGAGGGGUCUCCAGUUAACAGCUAGUUAGAAAUAAUUUUCCCAAUUGCACAGCUUCAGAUAACUGAAUUCUGCCAAUCACCAUGUGAGCUUGAAAGAGGUCCCUGAGCCUCAAACGAGAUUAUAACCCCAGCCAACUCCAUGAUUUCAGCCCAAUGAGACUAUGAACAGAGGACCCAGUUAACCCAUACCCAGACCCAUAAAAGUCUUCAGAUAAUACCUACGUGUUUGUGAUGAUUAAUACUGAGUGUCAACUAGAUUGGACUGAAGGAUGCAAAGUAUUGAUCCUGGGUGUGUCUAUCAGGGUGUUGCCAAAGGAGAUUAACAUUUGAGUCAGUGGGCUGAGAAAGGCAGACCCGCCCUUAAUCUGAGUGGACACCAUCUAAUCAGCCACCAGCCCAGCUGGAAUAUAAAGCAGGCAGAAAAACGUGAAAAGACUGGCCUAGCCUCCCAGCCUACAUCUUUCUCCCAUGCUGGAUGCUUCCUGCCCUCAAACACUGGACUCCAGGUUCUUGUUUUGGGACUUGGACUGGCUCUCCUUGCUCCUCAGCUUACAGAUGCCUAUUGUAGGACCUUGUGAUAGUGUGAGUUAAUACUUAAUAAACUCCCCUUUAUCUAUCUAUCUCUCUCUCUCUCUCUCGUUAGUUCUGUCCCUCUAGAAAACCCUAACUAAUACAGUGUUGUUUUGAGCUACCAAGUUUGUGAUCACUCAUUAUGCAGCAGUCAAAAAUGAAUAUGCCCCUUCUCUCCCUAUUUCUCUCAAUGUUCCAGUCACUCUGAACUUUUCUUAGUUUCCUAAUUAAAACAUUCCUUCCAUAAAUUUUGUUCUGCAAGAACUACUCACUUUGCCUGUAAUGUCCUUAUUAUCUUUUCUGCCAUUUGAUUAUUUUUUAACUUUUAUUUUAGGUUCAGGAGUACAUGUGCAGGUUUGUUAUAUAGGUAAACUUGUGUCACAGGAGUUUGUUUUGCAGAUUAUUUUCUCACCCAGAUACUAAGCCUAGUAUGCAAUAGUUAUUUUCUCUGCUCUUCUCCCACCUCUCACCCUCAACCCGCAAGUAGGCCUCAGUGUCUGUUGUUUCCUUCUUUGUACGUCCAUGAGUUCUCAUCAUUUAGCUCCUACUUAUAAGUGAAACAUAUGGUAUUUGAUUUUCUGUUCCUGCAUUAGUUUGCUAAGGAUAAUGGCCUCCAGCUCCAUUCAUGUUCCUGCAAAAGACAUGAUCUCAUUCGUUUUUAUGGCUGCAUAGUAUUCAAUGGUGUAUAUGUAUCACAUUUUCUUUAUCCAAUCUGUCACUGAUGGGCAUUUAGGCUGAUCCCAUGCCUUUGCUAUUGUCAAUAGUGCUGCAAUGAACAUUCACGUGCAUGGGUCUUCAAGGCAGAAUGAUUUAUAUUCCUCUGGAUAUAUAGCCAGUAAUGGGAUUACUGGGUCAAAUGGUAGUUCUGUUUUUAGCUCUUUGAGGAAUCACCAUGCUAAUUUUUUCAAUGGUUGAAGUAAUUUACACUCCCAUUAACUGCCUGUUGAGUAUUACCCAUCCUUCAGAACCCAGAUCAACUCUUCCUCUCCUGGAAGACUUGACCAAUUGCCCCAGGCAAAGUUUAUUCCUCCCUGCUCUAGAUUUCCACCAUACCCUGUUCUUUCUCUCCCUUCCUUCCUCUCUCUAUUUCUCUUAAUAGCAUAUAAAUGAGUUGAAAGCAGAAACUCAUAAUAUUCAUGCUCAAGUCACUUUGAACUAGGAUAUAAUUAUGCUUACAACAUAGUAGCCACUCAGUAAAUAGCUACUGGGUUAAUACACAUACUGUUUUUCAUUAGAAUGCUUCUGGAAUUUAUUUAAGUUAACAAAUAUUUAUUUUUCAGAGCCUCUGAAAGCUGUAAUGGACAAUAAGAAGAUGAGUAGGGCAUGUUUCCUAUCUCAAAUAAGUGGAAUAGGAUUUGCACAGAAAAAAUAACUGCAAGGCAAAAUACGACCUGUGUCACAUAAGAAACAGAAUCUGGUCUGUUGGGGGCUUCUCAGAGACAAAGAGAUGAUGGUCCACAGGAUGGAGCAUCUCUCUGACACUUCCAGUAGCUGUAUGGUGAGCAUUCCUCUCCCAGCAAUCUGUUGUUCUUUGUGAGCAGACUGGAGUGUGACAGCUGUGAAAACGAUCAAAGGCAGGUCCCAGACAGGAGAGGGCUGAUGACAAUGCCAGUUUCCCUCUAAGACCCUGUGGACAGCAGGGCCAUGAGGGAUGCUGUGACACAGAGUCUUGCUUGAUGCAGUGUGUGGUGUUACUCACAGGAGUGGGUUCAGCCACUCUUGGUGUGAAACCCAAGGAAAAUGUCUCUGCCGCAGCUGAUGUCAACAUGUACAGCAUGUGACCAGCUUGCAUUAAAGGAGAUGUGUGUAUGAGUUCUGCAGAAGUCCACCAAAUGUGGGCCAGGGUUAUUUCCCUGGUGAUGCUCUGAAGCUUUUGCCAAAGGACAAAUGGAAACAGGAAGUACAAUCAUGCACUGGGGUAAAGAAGAUUCAUCUGCUCUUAGCUACCUACCAUGCCAACACUCCUGAGAAAGCUCACAGAGGCCCAUGAUGCCCACCUGGAUCUGAGGACCUAGAAAGCCACAACAGGCAACCAUAAUCUGGGUCUUCCCUCAGCCAACUCCCCUGCAUAAAGUGAAUGAAUGAAAAACCCAUCUUAUAUUAAUCAGAGUUCUCUAGAGAAAAAGAACCAAUCAGAUGUGUAUAUAUAGAAAGAGAGAAUUAUUUUAGGGAAUUAGCUCACAUCAUUAUGCAGGCUGGUCAAUCAAAAAUCUGUGGAGUGGGCUAGCAGGCUGGAGACCCAGGGAAAGGCUAAAUUGCAGUUUAGAUCAGAAGGUCAUCUACUGGCAGAAUUCCCUCAUCUUCCAGGAAGGUGGAUCUUUUUCUACCAAGGCCUUCAGUUUAUUAGAUUAGGCCCAUGAACAUGCUGGAGGGUAAUCUGCUUUACUCAAUACAUACUGAUUUGAAUGUUAGUAUCAUCAAAAAGACCUUCACAGAAACAUCUAAAAUAAUGUUUGACCAAAUGUCUGCAUACCAUGGCCAAGCCAAGUUUACACAUAAAAUUAAUUAUCACACAUCCCACGAACACCAUCCCCAACAGAUGCUCAUGAGCAUUGUGGUUAUGAUUUCAACUUCAGAAUAAGGCAGAAAUGUGUACAAAUCCUGACCCUUUGACUUAUCAGCUCUCUAAAAAUCAUUAUAUGUCAACUUUCUAGACUUUACCUGAAAAACAGAAACCAAGAUACCCACAGCAUAAGAUUGUUAGGAUUGAAGAAAUUGUUACGAUUGUUAGGUAUGAAGAAAUUUAAACAAUGAUGCAGCUGAGAUAUUUAGAAUUGUACCUGGCAUGUACUUUGUAUUAAAUAACUAAUAAGGCCUUUUUCUGGUGAAAACAAAAUAAGCCUGGAUAAAAGAAGAUGAGACCAGAUUGGUUGAUGGCUCGGCCUGGGUGGGCUCCUGGCCCAUCUGAAAUUACAUUACUCUUAUGUAGUGCCUUUUUUGUUAUUGCUAAAAUAAAAUAAAUAAAACACUCUACUUUCAUACUUUGUAAAAUGCACUUCUCAUUCAGUUCCUCUUCCUGUGCCUUUUCCCUAUUGUCUAUCUGCACACAGCUGUUUUCUUCUGCACAUUUUCAUCACAGAGAAUUACCAGGUGUAGGUCAAAAGAUGCCACAGAGAUAACAAAGGAAAGGAAAAGCUUUUCUGCACUUCUAUCCUUGUAAGCACAAAAAUUAAUCACACUUUCAGUAAACAGGUCAGGUAAGUCAGUCCUGCACUUGAACCUUUUCUCCCCAAAUAAAUAGUUGAAAUGGGAAUGUCGAUUUCUGUAUUUGAACAGAAAUGUAUUAGUGUAGCUUUCAAAAGAAGACUACUCUCUCCAUAUGAAUAUCAUCAGACCCACAAAUACACAUAUGCAUACAUUCACAGUUCAUCCUAACGCUGCAGAAUAUUCUAAGAGUAACACAUUUCUGUACAAAUCAAGCAGCAGCUUUCACUUGCAUGCUAAUCUUCAAAUUAAUUCUGCAAUGAUCCAUUCAUUCCACAUCCCAACCUACAUCCUCAGAAAAACAAAGAUGUAAGUAAGGAACUCAGUAUAACAUGUUUGACUUUAGACACUACUCAAAUAUACUCAAACUUUAUAUGAAUAUGGAUAUUGCUCCUAGAUUAGGCAGUUCAGAAAACAAAUCUUGAUUAUUCUUAGUUACAAUGUAGUAUAAAAUAACAACAAUUUCAUGUCAACAACAGAAUCUCCUAAAAGAUCUUAUAAAGAUAAAAAGUCUUAGGUGUUAGUCGUCAAAGACUAAGUUGUAAAUGUAUCAUUGUAUUUGUGUAGUUAAUAAAACCCUAGACAAGAUAUGGGUUCCAGUUCUUGAACCACCACCACCUGUUCACCUUAAAUAAGUCAACUAAC
RNAcentral lists this long non-coding RNA (5223 nucleotides) under Homo sapiens (human). RNAcentral describes it as "HSALNT0192979". Lineage: Eukaryota; Metazoa; Chordata; Mammalia; Primates; Hominidae. The record is from RNAcentral.